CCUACGGGAGGCAGCAGUAGGGAAUCUUUCACAAUGGGCGAAAGCCUGAUGGAGCAACGCCGCGUGCAGGAUGAAGGCCCUCGGGUUGUAAACUGCUUUUAUAAGCGAGAAAUAUGAUGGUAACUUAUGAAUAAGGAUCGGCUAACUACGUGCCAGCAGCCGCGGUCAUACGUAGGAUCCGAGCAUUAUCCGGAGUGACUGGGUGUAAAGAGUUGCGUAGGUGGCAUAAUAAGUAGCUAGUGAAAUCUGGUGGCUCAACCAUUCAGACUAUUAGCUAAACUGUUAAGCUCGAGACCGUUAGGGGUAACUGGAAUUUCUAGUGUAGGAGUGAAAUCCGUAGAUAUUAGAAGGAACACCAAUAGCGUAGGCAGGUUGCUGGGACGGUUCUGACACUAAGGCACGAAAGCGUAGGGAGCAAACGGGAUUAGAUACCCCAGUAGUC
This 442-nucleotide ribosomal RNA is filed under the name uncultured bacterium. Its description in RNAcentral is "partial 16S ribosomal RNA". It matches the Rfam family "Bacterial small subunit ribosomal RNA", at positions 338 to 795 of the family's 1533-position model. The record is from RNAcentral.